UCCGUAGGUGAACCUGCGGAAGGAUCAUUACAGAGAGGAGCUUCGCGCUCCAGGGGGUGUCAAACCCCCCCGCCUCUCAACCCUGUGAUAAUUUACCUAUGUUGCUUUGGCGGGCCUUGGGGUCACGCUCAUGCCGGCUCUGCCGGCGAGUGCGCGCCAGAAGCCCCACCAAAAUCGUUUUAUCAGUGUCGUCAGAGGAUACACAAAAUGAAGCAAAACUUUCAACAACGGAUCUCUUGGUUCUGGCAUCGAUGAAGAACGCAGCGAAAUGCGAUAAGUAAUGUGAAUUGCAGAAUUCAGUGAAUCAUCGAAUCUUUGAACGCACAUUGCGCCCCUCGGCAUUCCGGGGGGCAUACCUGUUCGAGCGUCAUUACACCUCUCAAGCGUAGCUUGGUAUUGGGCUACCUCGUCCGGGGGGCGUGCCUGAAAAUGAGUGGCGGCCCAGCGUGGCUUUGAACGUAGUAAACAAACUUCCCGUUCUGAAAGUUUCACGUUGUGGCUUGCCAGAAACCCCCCAUACUGAAUCAAGAAUUGACCUCGGAUCAGGUAGGGAUACCCGCUGAACUUAAGCAUAUCAAUAAGCGGAGGA
RNAcentral lists this ribosomal RNA (589 nucleotides) under uncultured fungus. RNAcentral describes it as "eukaryotic LSU rRNA". The stretch from base 217 to 370 matches the Rfam family "5.8S ribosomal RNA". Lineage: Eukaryota; Fungi. The record is from RNAcentral.